This 742-nucleotide ribosomal RNA is filed under the name uncultured bacterium. Its description in RNAcentral is "bacterial SSU rRNA". It matches the Rfam family "Bacterial small subunit ribosomal RNA", at positions 75 to 817 of the family's 1533-position model. The record is from RNAcentral.
GUUCUUCGGAACUAGAGACCGGCGCACGGGUGCGUAACGCGUAUGCAAUCUACCUUUUACAGAGGGAUAGCCCAGAGAAAUUUGGAUUAAUACCUCAUAGUAUAUAGCCCUGGCAUCAGGAUUAUAUUAAAGUCACAACGGUAAAAGAUGAGCAUGCGUCCCAUUAGCUAGUUGGUAAGGUAACGGCUUACCAAGGCUACGAUGGGUAGGGGUCCUGAGAGGGAGAUCCCCCACACUGGUACUGAGACACGGACCAGACUCCUACGGGAGGCAGCAGUGAGGAAUAUUGGACAAUGGGCGCAAGCCUGAUCCAGCCAUGCCGCGUGCAGGAUGACGGUCCUAUGGAUUGUAAACUGCUUUUAUACGAGAAGAAACACUCCUUCGUGAAGGAGCUUGACGGUAUCGUAAGAAUAAGGAUCGGCUAACUCCGUGCCAGCAGCCGCGGUAAUACGGAGGAUCCAAGCGUUAUCCGGAAUCAUUGGGUUUAAAGGGUCCGUAGGCGGUUUAAUAAGUCAGUGGUGAAAGCCCAUCGCUCAACGGUGGAACGGCCAUUGAUACUGUUAGACUUGAAUUAUUAGGAAGUAACUAGAAUAUGUAGUGUAGCGGUGAAAUGCUUAGAGAUUACAUGGAAUACCAAUUGCGAAGGCAGGUUACUACUAAUUGAUUGACGCUGAUGGACGAAAGCGUGGGUAGCGAACAGGAUUAGAUACCCUGGUAGUCCACGCCGUAAACGAUGGAUACU